GACGAACGCUGGCGGCGUGCCUAAUACAUGCAAGUAGAACGCUGAAGAGAGGAGCUUGCUCUUCUUGGAUGAGUUGCGAACGGGAGAGUAACGCGUAGGUAACCUGCCUUGUAGCGGGGGAUAACUAUUGGAAACGAUAGCUAAUACCGCAUAACAAUGGAUGACACAUGUCAUUUAUUUGAAAGGGGCAAUUGCUCCACUACAAGAUGGACCUGCGUUGUAUUAGCUAGUAGGUGAGGUAAUGGCUCACCUAGGCGACGAUACAUAGCCGACCUGAGAGGGUGAUCGGCCACACUGGGACUGAGACACGGCCCAGACUCCUACGGGAGGCAGCAGUAGGGAAUCUUCGGCAAUGGGGGCAACCCUGACCGAGCAACGCCGCGUGAGUGAAGAAGGUUUUCGGAUCGUAAAGCUCUGUUGUAAGUCAAGAACGGGUGUGAGAGUGGAAAGUUCACACUGUGACGGUAGCUUACCAGAAAGGGACGGCUAACUACGUG
RNAcentral lists this ribosomal RNA (497 nucleotides) under uncultured bacterium. RNAcentral's name for it is "partial 16S ribosomal RNA". It matches the Rfam family "Bacterial small subunit ribosomal RNA", at positions 28 to 507 of the family's 1533-position model. The record is from RNAcentral.